This 374-nucleotide ribosomal RNA is filed under the name uncultured organism. RNAcentral describes it as "bacterial SSU rRNA". It matches the Rfam family "Bacterial small subunit ribosomal RNA", at positions 526 to 896 of the family's 1533-position model. The record is from RNAcentral.
CGGGGGGAGCAAGCGUUGUUCGGAUUUACUGGGCGUAAAGGGCGCGUAGGCGGCCUCCGCAAGUCAGUUGUGAAAUCUCCGAGCUUAACUCGGAAAGGCCAACUGAUACUGCGGGGCUAGAGUGCGGAAGGGGCAACUGGAAUUCUUGGUGUAGCGGUGAAAUGCGUAGAUAUCAAGAGGAACACCUGCGGCGAAGGCGGGUUGCUGGGCCGACACUGACGCUGAGGCGCGAAAGCUAGGGGAGCGAACGGGAUUAGAUACCCCGGUAGUCCUAGCCUUAAACGAUGAAUGCUUGGUGUCUGGGGUUAUAUAGUCCCCGGGUGCCGUCGCUAACGCUUUAAGCAUUCCGCCUGGGGAGUACGGUCGCAAGACUG